This 317-nucleotide long non-coding RNA is filed under the name Ananas comosus (pineapple). RNAcentral's name for it is "long non-coding RNA (ACOM_LNC003074)". The record is from RNAcentral. Lineage: Eukaryota; Viridiplantae; Streptophyta; Magnoliopsida; Poales; Bromeliaceae.
GAACAGACGCCGAACGGACAGAGCUUCCCCUGUCCGCCCAAGGCUCAACAACAAGUACAAAUAGGGUAUAAAAUUUGCACAUGCGGAAGCAUACAUAAUGGCUUGCACGAGGGCAAAGUGAAAGAACUAACUACUCAACAUACAAGUACUAUGAUUAACUUUAAAUCAUAUACAUGCAUACUACUUUAACCAAAUUCUUUUACAUUCUUUUCAUCAUAUCUUUUUACAUCUCAUUUCUCCAAAAUAUAACUUUUGAUAUUUAAAGUAAAUAUCCUUUACAUCAUUCUCUUAAACAUCUAGAAUCAUCAAAUACAAAA